This 450-nucleotide ribosomal RNA is filed under the name uncultured bacterium. RNAcentral describes it as "partial 16S ribosomal RNA". It matches the Rfam family "Bacterial small subunit ribosomal RNA", at positions 354 to 796 of the family's 1533-position model. The record is from RNAcentral.
GUGGGGAAUAUUGCACAAUGGGCGCAAGCCUGAUGCAGCCAUGCCGCGUGUAUGAAGAAGGCCUUCGGGUUGUAAAGUACUUUCAGCGGGGAGGAAGGCGAUAAGGUUAAUAACCUUGUCGAUUGACGUUACCCGCAGAAGAAGCACCGGCUAACUCCGUGCCAGCAGCCGCGGUAAUACGGAGGGUGCAAGCGUUAAUCGGAAUUACUGGGCGUAAAGCGCACGCAGGCGGUCUGUCAAGUCGGAUGUGAAAUCCCCGGGCUCAACCUGGGAACUGCAUUCGAAACUGGCAGGCUAGAGUCUUGUAGAGGGGGGUAGAAUUCCAGGUGUAGCGGUGAAAUGCGUAGAGAUCUGGAGGAAUACCGGUGGCGAAGGCGGCCCCCUGGACAAAGACUGACGCUCAGGUGCGAAAGCGUGGGGAACAAACAGGAUUAGAUACCCUAGUAGUCC